UCAAUAGGAAGGGGUAAAAUCCUUUGAUCUAUUGAUGACCACCUGUGGCGAAGGCGGUGUACCAGAACACGUUCGACGGUGAGGGAUGAAAGCUGGGGGAGCAAACCGGAUUAGAUACCCGGGUAGUCCCAGCUGUAAACGAUGCAGACUCGGUGAUGCAUUGGCUUGUGGCCAAUGCAGUGCCGCAGGGAAGCCGUUAAGUCUGCCGCCUGGGAAGUACGUACGCAAGUAUGAAACUUAAAGGAAUUGGCGGGGGAGCACCACAAGGGGUGAAGCCUGCGGUUCAAUUGGAGUCAACGCCAGAAAUCUUACCUGGGGCGACAGCAGAAUGAAGGUCAAGCUGAAGACUUUACCAGACAAGCUGAGAGGUGGUGCAUGGCCGUCGCCAGCUCGUGCCGUGAGAUGUCCUGUUAAGUCAGGUAACGAGCGAGACCCCUGCGUCUAGUUGCUACCAUUACUCUCUGGAGUAGUGGAGCGAAUUAGACGGACCGCCACAGUUAAUGUGGAGGAAGGAAGGGGCCACGGCAGGUCAGUAUGCCCCGAAACCCUAGGGCUACACGCGGGCUGCAAUGGUAUUGACAAUGUGUUCCGAAUCCGAAAGGAGGAGGCAAUCAUCAAACGAUACCUCAGUUAUGACUGAGGGCUGUAACUCGCCCUCACGAAUAUGGAAUCCCUAGUAACUGCGCGUCACUACCGCGCGGUGAAUACGUCCCUGCUCCUUGCACACACCGCCCGUCGUUUCAUCGAAGUUGGCCUUUAGUGAGGUAGUGUCUUGUUGGCAUUAUCGAGCUUGAGGUCAGUGACGAGGGAAAAGUCGUAACAAGGUA
This 827-nucleotide ribosomal RNA is filed under the name uncultured archaeon. RNAcentral describes it as "bacterial SSU rRNA". It matches the Rfam family "Archaeal small subunit ribosomal RNA", at positions 619 to 1445 of the family's 1478-position model. The record is from RNAcentral.